Molecule: ribosomal RNA, 480 nt
Filed under: uncultured bacterium
Lineage: Bacteria
Description: partial 16S ribosomal RNA
Rfam family: Bacterial small subunit ribosomal RNA
Source: RNAcentral
GAUGAACGCUAGCGGCAGGCCUAACACAUGCAAGUCGAGGGGGAGGUUACUUUCGGGUAACUGAGACCGGCGUACGGGUGCGUAACGCGUAUACAAUCUGCCUUUCACUGGGGGAUAGCCCGAAGAAAUUUGGAUUAAUACCCCAUAGUAUAGUAAUACGGCAUCGUGAUGCUAUUAAAGCUUAGGUGGUGAAAGAUGAGUAUGCGUUCUAUUAGCUAGUUGGAGAGGUAACGGCUCCCCAAGGCGAUGAUAGAUAGGGGUUCUGAGAGGGAUGUCCCCCACACUGGUACUGAGAUACGGACCAGACUCCUACGGGAGGCAGCAGUGAGGAAUAUUGGACGAUGGUCGGAAGACUGAUCCAGCCAUGCCGCGUGCAGGAUGAAGGUCUUAUGGAUUGUAAACUGCUUUUGUAAGGGAAGAAUAAGGGCUACGCGUAGUUUGAUGACGGUACCUUACGAAUAAGCAUCGGCUAACUCCGUG